Molecule: ribosomal RNA, 1343 nt
Filed under: uncultured bacterium
Lineage: Bacteria
Description: 16S ribosomal RNA
Rfam family: Bacterial small subunit ribosomal RNA
Source: RNAcentral
GACGAACGCUGGCGGCGUGCUUAACACAUGCAAGUCGAACGGAAAGGCCCUGCUUUUGUGGGGUGCUCGAGUGGCGAACGGGUGAGUAACACGUGAGUAACCUGCCCUUGACUUUGGGAUAACUUCAGGAAACUGGGGCUAAUACCGGAUAGGAGCUCCUGCUGCAUGGUGGGGGUUGGAAAGUUUCGGCGGUUGGGGAUGGACUCGCGGCUUAUCAGCUUGUUGGUGGGGUAGUGGCUUACCAAGGCUUUGACGGGUAGCCGGCCUGAGAGGGUGACCGGCCACAUUGGGACUGAGAUACGGCCCAGACUCCUACGGGAGGCAGCAGUGGGGAAUAUUGCACAAUGGGCGGAAGCCUGAUGCAGCAACGCCGCGUGCGGGAUGACGGCCUUCGGGUUGUAAACCGCUUUCGCCUGUGACGAAGCGUGAGUGACGGUAAUGGGUAAAGAAGCACCGGCUAACUACGUGCCAGCAGCCGCGGUGAUACGUAGGGUGCGAGCGUUGUCCGGAUUUAUUGGGCGUAAAGGGCUCGUAGGUGGUUGAUCGCGUCGGAAGUGUAAUCUUGGGGCUUAACCCUGAGCGUGCUUUCGAUACGGGUUGACUUGAGGAAGGUAGGGGAGAAUGGAAUUCCUGGUGGAGCGGUGGAAUGCGCAGAUAUCAGGAGGAACACCAGUGGCGAAGGCGGUUCUCUGGGCCUUUCCUGACGCUGAGGAGCGAAAGCGUGGGGAGCGAACAGGCUUAGAUACCCUGGUAGUCCACGCUGUAAACGGUGGGUACUAGGUGUGGGGUCCAUUCCACGGGUUCCGUGCCGUAGCUAACGCUUUAAGUACCCCGCCUGGGGAGUACGGCCGCAAGGCUAAAACUCAAAGGAAUUGACGGGGCCCCGCACAAGCGGCGGAGCAUGCGGAUUAAUUCGAUGCAACGCGUAGAACCUUACCUGGGUUUGACAUGGAUCGGGAGUGCUCAGAGAUGGGUGUGCCUCUUUUGGGGUCGGUUCACAGGUGGUGCAUGGCUGUCGUCAGCUCGUGUCGUGAGAUGUUGGGUUAAGUCCCGCAACGAGCGCAACCCUUGUUCACUGUUGCCAGCACGUUAUGGUGGGGACUCAGUGGAGACCGCCGGGGUCAACUCGGAGGAAGGUGGGGAUGACGUCAAGUCAUCAUGCCCCUUAUGUCCAGGGCUUCACGCAUGCUACAAUGGCUGGUACAGAGAGUGGCGAGCCUGUGAGGGUGAGCGAAUCUCGGAAAGCCGGUCUCAGUUCGGAUUGGGGUCUGCAACUCGACCUCAUGAAGUCGGAGUCGCUAGUAAUCGCAGAUCAGCAACGCUGCGGUGAAUACUUUCCCGGG